UUAUAUACCCUGGGAGUCCACGCUGUAAACGAUGAGUGCUGAAUGUGGGGGCUUUUGCCUCUGUGUUGUAGCUAACGCGUUAAGCACUCCGCCUGGGGACUACGGUCGCAAGACUAAAACUCAAAGGAAUUGACGGGGACCCGCACAAGCGGUGGAGCAUGUGGUUUAAUUCGAUGCAACGCGAAAAACCUUACCACUUCUUGACAUGGAGGCUAGAUCCUUCUUAACAGAAGGGCGCAGUUCGGCUGGGCCUCGCACAGGUGCUGCAUGGCUGUCGUCAGCUCGUGUCGUGAGAUGUUGGGUUAAGUCCCGCAACGAGCGCAACCCUCAUCCUUAGUUACCAGCGGGUAAUGCCGGGCACUUUAAGGAAACUGCCAGUGAUAAACUGGAGGAAGGUGGGGAUGAUGUCAAGUCAGCACGGCCCUUAUGGGGUGGGCUACACACGUGCUACAAUGGCGACUACAAUAGGUUGCAACGUCGCAAGGCUGAGCUAAUCCGUAAAAGUCGUCUCAGUUCGGAUUGUCCUCUGUAACUCGAGGGCAUGAAGUCGGAAUCGCUAGUAAUCGUGGAUCAGCAUGCCACGGUGAAUACGUUCUCGGGUCUUGACCACACUGCAAA
This 618-nucleotide ribosomal RNA is filed under the name Anaplasma marginale. RNAcentral's name for it is "bacterial SSU rRNA". It matches the Rfam family "Bacterial small subunit ribosomal RNA", at positions 778 to 1396 of the family's 1533-position model. Lineage: Bacteria; Pseudomonadati; Pseudomonadota; Alphaproteobacteria; Rickettsiales; Anaplasmataceae. The record is from RNAcentral.